Molecule: long non-coding RNA, 211 nt
Filed under: Mytilus galloprovincialis (Mediterranean mussel)
Lineage: Eukaryota; Metazoa; Mollusca; Bivalvia; Mytilida; Mytilidae
Source: RNAcentral
GGCUUACUGGAUGCAAUUAGAACAUAUUCCAAUUGAUAACACUGAUUAUCUUUUUUUUCUUUAAAACUCGCUUUAAUUCGCUCCAGAUUAGAAUUUUAACGACAAAGUACUCAUUAACUGUUCUAUUUCAACCAUUUAAUCAUCACGUGAUCACAGAUUUUAAUCCUACGUGUACACGAACCCAGCUUUUGCGUGAUAUUCAUAUCUUAAC